This 498-nucleotide ribosomal RNA is filed under the name uncultured bacterium. RNAcentral's name for it is "partial 16S ribosomal RNA". It matches the Rfam family "Bacterial small subunit ribosomal RNA", at positions 28 to 507 of the family's 1533-position model. The record is from RNAcentral.
GACGAACGCUGGCGGCGUGCCUAAUACAUGCAAGUCGAGCGGACGAAUCGAAAGCUUGCUUUUGUUUCGUUAGCGGCGGACGGGUGAGUAACACGUGGGCAACCUGCCCUGUAGACGGGGAUAACACCGAGAAAUCGGUGCUAAUACCGGAUAACACGAAGUGUCGCAUGACGCUUCGUUGAAAGACGGCGCUAGCUUUCCCUAUAGGAUGAGCCCGCGGCGCAUUAGCUAGUUGGUAAGGUAACGGCUCACCAAGGCGACGAUGAGUAGCCGCCCUGAGAGGGUGAUCGGCCACACUGGAACUGAGACACGGUCCAGACUCCUACGGGAGGCAGCAGUAGGGAAUCUUCCGCAAUGGGCGAAAGUCUGACGGAGCAACGCCGCGUGAGCGAUGAAGGUCUUCGGGUCGUAAAGCUCUGUUAUUAGGGAAGAACAUAUGACGCAGUAACUGGCGAUAUCGUGACGGUACCUAACGAGAAAGCCACGGCUAACUACGUG